UAAGAACUCUUAUGUCUAUUCUAUAUAAAGUGUGCCUAUAUAACUGAAAUCUUGGUUUAUGAGAAAUUCAUGGGUCACUUUUUAUUUUUAUUUAAUAAAAUAAUAAAAUAUUAUUUAUAUAUAAUAAAAUAAUAAUAAAACAAAUCAUAUUAAUAUUUGAACUCAUAUUAAAUAUUGGCUUAUACCUCAAAAUUUACACUGCCCACAUGUUUCGAAAUUUUUUUUAAACUUUUGGCGGAAGAACAUUACAGAUCAGAUGUCUGUUUUGGGAGAAAAUUUAAUUUUGUUAAGGUUUGAGCUUCCAUAGAAACGAACUCCAAAUCCUUUCUUAUGAAUCAGGGAGUAAUGCCUCCACUAGCAUAAGGAAUCCUUUUCGGAGACGAUAUCGUCCAGUAGCUUCAAAUGAGACACUAUAUAUAGCGAUACACCCUUUGUAUUCAAUAGCUCCUCCUACACAUAAGUUGGUUCUGAUUCCGGUGGCUCAUUGAGUUUCUCAGCAGAAUAAUGGCUUAUCUCAAUAUGGACAGUAAAUUAUGCAAGGAACUCAGCAUCAAUAGCAACAAAAGAACCAACAUGGACAUUCAAUGCAACAAUUUAGGGGCACUUUGUACAAUAUGCAACAGCCUGCAAGAAAGGGUCAAUUGCAGCCAGCUGGUACUGGUUCAGUUUAUAACCCACUUAAUGAGAGAGACUCAUCAGCAAUGUGUUCUGCAGUCUAAUAUGCCUCCGCUGUUGGAUUAAGAAAUGGGGCAUGGGAACAAUAUGCAUGUAUCUUUUCAUCUUUUCAUCUUACUUGGUUUAAGUUUAACAUGGGAUUUAAGUUUCCAAUUAAAAAUUUAGUAAAUUGUGAUCUGAAGUACUCUUACUAAAUCUAUAUAUUCUUUCCAUUUUAAUU
Long non-coding RNA from Cannabis sativa, 895 nucleotides. RefSeq lists it as uncharacterized. The transcript is spliced from 3 exons. NCBI's taxonomy places the organism in Eukaryota, Viridiplantae, Streptophyta, Magnoliopsida, Rosales, Cannabaceae. The record is from RefSeq and is a predicted model, not a curated record.